AGUGGCGGACGGGUGAGUAACGCGUGAGAAUCUGCCUUGGGGUCGGGGACAACCACUGGAAACGGUGGCUAAUACCGGAUAAGCCGAUUGGUGAAAGAUUUAUUGCCCGAAGAGGAGCUCGCGUCUGAUUAGCUAGUUGGUGAGGUAAGAGCUCACCAAGGCAGCGAUCAGUAGCUGGUCUGAGAGGACGAUCAGCCACACUGGGACUGGGACACGGCCCAGACUCCUACGGGAGGCAGCAGUGGGGAAUUUUCCGCAAUGGGCGAAAGCCUGACGGAGCAAGACCGCGUGAGGGAGUAAGGCUCUUGGGUUGUAAACCUCUUUUCUCAGGGAAGAAGCUCUGACGGUACCUGAGGAAUCAGCCUCGGCUAACUCCGUGCCAGCAGCCGCGGUAAUACGGAGGAGGCAAGCGUUAUCCGGAAUUAUUGGGCGUAAAGCGUCCGCAGGUGGCGAUUCAAGUCUGCUGUCAAAGCACGGGGCUUAACUCCGUAAAGGCAGUGGAAACUGAAUAGCUAGAGUGCCGUAGGGGUAGAGGGAAUUCCCGGUGUAGCGGUGAAAUGCGUAGAGAUCGGGAAGAACAUCGGUGGCGAAAGCGCUCUACUGGACGGCAACUGACACUCAGGGACGAAAGCUAGGGGAGCGAAUGGGAUUAGAUACCCC
This 660-nucleotide ribosomal RNA is filed under the name uncultured bacterium. RNAcentral describes it as "bacterial SSU rRNA". It matches the Rfam family "Bacterial small subunit ribosomal RNA", at positions 94 to 788 of the family's 1533-position model. The record is from RNAcentral.